AGAUGAAUAACAGUGUGAUUCUCCAUUGGCAGGGAAAUAUUAAGUGUUCAUGCCGGUUACAAUAUAUGAUAUCCCUGCCAAGGGAGAAUUGCCCUGCUAUUCACCC
This is a microRNA precursor of Macleaya cordata, 106 nucleotides long. It matches the Rfam family "mir-399 microRNA precursor family". From Rfam's summary of the family: mir-399 was identified in both Arabidopsis thaliana and Oryza sativa computationally and was later experimentally verified. mir-399 is thought to target mRNAs coding for a phosphatase transporter. NCBI's taxonomy places the organism in Eukaryota, Viridiplantae, Streptophyta, Magnoliopsida, Ranunculales, Papaveraceae. The record is from Rfam.